GGCGAGUGAAGCGGUAACAGCUCAAAUUUGAAAGCUAGCUCUUUUAGGGUUCGCAUUGUAAUUUGUAGAAGAUGCUUCGGGUGUGGCCCCGGUCUAAGUUCCUUGGAACAGGACGUCAUAGAGGGUGAGAAUCCCGUAUGUGACUGGGUGCUUUCGCUCAUGUGAAGCUCUUUCGACGAGUCGAGUUGUUUGGGAAUGCAGCUCAAAAUGGGUGGUAAAUUUCAUCUAAAGCUAAAUAUUGGCCAGAGACCGAUAGCGCACAAGUAGAGUGAUCGAAAGAUGAAAAGCACUUUGGAAAGAGAGUUAAACAGUACGUGAAAUUGUUGAAAGGGAAGCGCUUGCAACCAGACUUGCGCGCUGAUGAUCAUCCGGGCUUCUGUCCGGUGCACUCGUCUGCGCUCAGGCCAGCAUCGGUUUCGGUGGUGGGAUAAAGGCCUUGGGAAUGUAGCUCCUCUCGGGGAGUGUUAUAGCCCUCGGUGCAAUGCCGCCUACCGGGACCGAGGACCGCGCUUCGGCUAGGAUGCUGGCGUAAUGGUUGUAAGCGACCCGUCUUGAAACACGGACCAAGGAGUCUAACAUCUAUGCGAGUGUUUGGGUGUCAAACCCAUACGCGUAAUGAAAGUGAACGGAGGUGAGAACCCUUAAGGGUGCAUCAUCGACCGGUCCUGAUGUCUUCGGAUGGAUCUGAGUAAGAGCAUAGCUGUUGGGACCCGAAAGAUGGUGAACUAUGCGUGAAUAGGGUGAAGCCAGAGGAAACUCUGGUGGAGGCUCGCAGCGGUUCUGACGUGCAAAUCGAUCG
RNAcentral lists this ribosomal RNA (799 nucleotides) under Oculimacula acuformis. Its description in RNAcentral is "partial large subunit ribosomal RNA". It matches the Rfam family "Eukaryotic large subunit ribosomal RNA", at positions 88 to 904 of the family's 3401-position model. Lineage: Eukaryota; Fungi; Ascomycota; Leotiomycetes; Helotiales; Ploettnerulaceae. The record is from RNAcentral.